Petromyzon marinus (sea lamprey) is the source of this 119-nucleotide ribosomal RNA. The record is from Ensembl. Lineage: Eukaryota; Metazoa; Chordata; Hyperoartia; Petromyzontiformes; Petromyzontidae.
GCCUACGACCAGAUCACCCUGAAUGCGCCCGAUCUCGUCUGAUCUCGGAAGCUAAGCAUGGUCGAGCCUGCUUAGUAUUUGGAUGGGAGACUGCCUGGGAAUACCAGGUGUUGUAGGCU